AGUGAACGCUGGCGGUAGGCCUAACACAUGCAAGUCGAACGGCAGCACAGUAAGAGCUUGCUCUUACGGGUGGCGAGUGGCGGACGGGUGAGGAAUACAUCGGAAUCUACUUUUUCGUGGGGGAUAACGUAGGGAAACUUACGCUAAUACCGCAUACGACCUACGGGUGAAAGCAGGGGAUCUUCGGACCUUGCGCGAUUGAAUGAGCCGAUGUCGGAUUAGCUAGUUGGCGGGGUAAAGGCCCACCAAGGCGACGAUCCGUAGCUGGUCUGAGAGGAUGAUCAGCCACACUGGAACUGAGAAACGGUCCAGACUCCUACGGGAGGAAGCAGUGGGGAAUAUUGGACAAUGGGGGAAAGCCUGAUCCAGCCAUACCGCGUGGGUGAAGAAGGCCUUCGGGUUGUAAAGCCCUUUUGUUGGGAAAGAAAAGCAGCAGGUUAAUACCCCGCUGUUCUGACGGUACCCAAAGAAUAAGCACCGGCUAACUUCGUG
This 492-nucleotide ribosomal RNA is filed under the name uncultured bacterium. RNAcentral's name for it is "partial 16S ribosomal RNA". It matches the Rfam family "Bacterial small subunit ribosomal RNA", at positions 29 to 507 of the family's 1533-position model. The record is from RNAcentral.